Molecule: ribosomal RNA, 406 nt
Filed under: uncultured Bacilli bacterium
Lineage: Bacteria; Bacillati; Bacillota; Bacilli
Description: bacterial SSU rRNA
Rfam family: Bacterial small subunit ribosomal RNA
Source: RNAcentral
CGCGUGGGUAACCUGCCUUAUAGCGGGGGAUAACUAUUGGAAACGAUAGCUAAUACCGCAUAACAAUAGAGAUUGCACAAUCUUUAUUUGAAAGUGCCAACUGGUACACUAUGAGAUGGACCCGCGUUGUAUUAGCUAGUUGGUAGUGUAAUGGACUACCAAGGCGAUGAUACAUAGCCGACCUGAGAGGGUGAUCGGCCACAUUGGGACUGAGACACGGCCCAAACUCCUACGGGAGGCAGCAGUAGGGAAUCUUCGGCAAUGGACGAAAGUCUGACCGAGCAACGCCGCGUGAGUGAAGAAGGUUUUCGGAUCGUAAAACUCUGUUGUUAGAGAAGAAUGUUGAUUAGAGUGGAAAAUUAAUCAAGUGACGGUAUCUAACCAGAAAGGGACGGCUAACUACGUG